CACGUAGUUAGCCGGGGCUUCUUGGUCAGGUACUGUCAUUUUCUUCCCUGCUGAUAGAGCUUUACAUGCCGAAAUACUUCUUCACUCACGCGGCGUCGCUGCAUCAGGGUUUCCCCCAUUGUGCAAUAUCCCCCACUGCUGCCUCCCGUAGGAGUUUGGGCCGUGUCUCAGUCCCAAUGUGGCCGUCCGCCCUCUCAGGCCGGCUACUGAUCGUCGCUUUGGUAGGCCGUUACCCUGCCAACUGGCUAAUCAGACGCGGGUCCAUCAUAUACCACCGGAGUUUUCACACCGGGGCAUGCGCCCCUGUGCGCUUAUGCGGUAUUAGCACCUAUUUCUAAGUGUUAUCCCCCUGUAUAUGGCAGGUUACCCACGCGUUACUCACCCGUCCGCCACUAGGGCGUGAAAAGUUUGAAGUCUAGUAAACUAUCCCUCUCGCACAUCACGCCCCGUUCGACUUGCAUGUGUUAAGCACGCCGCCAGCGUUCACUCCUGAGCCAGGACUCAAA
This 506-nucleotide ribosomal RNA is filed under the name uncultured Lachnospiraceae bacterium. Its description in RNAcentral is "partial 16S ribosomal RNA". The record is from RNAcentral. Lineage: Bacteria; Bacillati; Bacillota; Clostridia; Lachnospirales; Lachnospiraceae.